GAUGAACGCUGGCGGCGUGCUUAACACAUGCAAGUCGAACGGAAAGGCUCCUGCUUGCAGGGGUACUCGAGUGGCGAACGGGUGAGUAACACGUGGGUGAUCUGCCCUGCACUUCGGGAUAAGCCUGGGAAACUGGGUCUAAUACCGGAUAGGACGAUGGUUUGGAUGCCAUUGUGGAAAGUUUUUGCGGUGUGGGGUAAGCUCGCGGCCUAUCAGCUUGUGGGUGGGGUAAUGGCCUACCAAGGCGUCGACGGGUAGCCGGCCUGAGAGGGUGUACGGCCACAUUGGGACUGAGAUACGGACCAGACUCCUACGGGAGGCAGCAGUGGGGAAUAUUGCACAAUGGGCGCAAGCCUGAUGCAGCGACGCCGCGUGGGGGAUGACGGCCUUCGGGUUGUAAACUCCUUUCGCUAGGGACGAAGCGCAAGUGACGGUACCUGGAGAAGAAGCACCGGCUAACUACGUG
RNAcentral lists this ribosomal RNA (466 nucleotides) under uncultured bacterium. RNAcentral describes it as "partial 16S ribosomal RNA". It matches the Rfam family "Bacterial small subunit ribosomal RNA", at positions 28 to 507 of the family's 1533-position model. The record is from RNAcentral.